Molecule: ribosomal RNA, 119 nt
Filed under: Helianthus annuus (common sunflower)
Lineage: Eukaryota; Viridiplantae; Streptophyta; Magnoliopsida; Asterales; Asteraceae
Source: RNAcentral
GGUUGCGAUCAUACCAGCACUAAUGCACCGGAUCCCAUCAGAACUCCGCAGUUAAGCGUGCUUGGGCGAGAGUAGUACUAGGAUGGGUGACCCCCUCGGAAGUCCUCGUGUUGCAACGC